Molecule: ribosomal RNA, 988 nt
Filed under: Acanthoparyphium sp. WAK-2018
Lineage: Eukaryota; Metazoa; Platyhelminthes; Trematoda; Plagiorchiida; Himasthlidae
Description: large subunit ribosomal RNA
Rfam family: Archaeal large subunit ribosomal RNA (bases 660-945)
Source: RNAcentral
AAAAGCUUAGAGGUUGUGCUUUAUUAAGGUUGUGCUUUUGUUAAGUUACCUUUUGCAUCAUGAUCUAUUGAAAGGGGGUGUUUAUAUUUCAAAGUCUCGAAGGAUAGUGAUUUUUCUUUUCUCUUGUUUGGAACUAAGGCCAAGACGAGUAGUUUUUUUAAGAGAGAGGGAAAGUUGUGAUAAAUUUUUCGGACUAUCUAAUAUCUAGUAGUGGGGGGAUCUGUUGUUAUAAAGAAGCUGGGCUAGGAUGUUUAGUUUCAGUUAAGAGGGUUUAUGUUUUUUGCUGGUUUAGUGGGGUUAAAGUUCCCCCUCUUUAUAAAAUGUGUUAUAACUUGGAUUUGCGGUUUUCUCCCUUUAUUGUGGUCCCCCGCACUGAUAACUGUGUUUUUGAGUAUGAUAGAAUAAGUAGAUUGUAGUGGCCUCUUUUUUUCUCGCCCCUCUUUCGGUCUGUUUAUUAAAAACAUUUCCAUUUUUAAAUUUAAAUGGUAGUGCCUGCCCGAUGCUUUGUAGGUGAAUGGCCGCAGUAUUCUGACUGUGCUAAGGUAGCAUAAUUAGUUGCCUCAUAAUUGGAGGAUUGUUUGAAUGGUUUGACUGGAGAGUUGGGGAAGAUAGGGGUUGUUGGUUGAAUUUGGUUUUUGGGUGCAGAACCCCAAAUGAAAAUAUAAGACGGAAAGACCCCGAGAUCUUAAUUUUUAGGAAUUUGUUUGGGGUAAGAGUAUAUGUUGUAUAUGCUUUUUGAUCCCUUAGGAAUGAGGUUGAAGUUACCUCGGGGAUAACUAGGUAAAAAAUGAGAAGAGGUCCAAUCGAUUCAUUUAAUUGCCAUCUCGAUGUUGACUUAGGAGAUAUGAGAGGGUGUAGGAGUUCUUUUAUAAGGUCUGUUCGACCAUAGUUUCCUUCAUGAGUUGAGUUAAGACCGGCGUGAGCCAGGUCGGUUCUUAUCUAUAUGUGGCGCAGGUUAGUACGAAAGGAUGAUUUGUGCUUUAUGUUU